GUGGGGAAUUUUGGACAAUGGGCGCAAGCCUGAUCCAGCAAUGCCGCGUGCAGGAAGAAGGCCUUCGGGUUGUAAACUGCUUUUGUACGGAACGAAACGGUCCGGGUUAAUACCCUGGGCUAAUGACGGUACCGUAAGAAUAAGCACCGGCUAACUACGUGCCAGCAGCCGCGGUAAUACGUAGGGUGCAAGCGUUAAUCGGAAUUACUGGGCGUAAAGCGUGCGCAGGCGGUUUUGUAAGACAGGCGUGAAAUCCCCGGGCUCAACCUGGGAAUUGCGCUUGGGACUGCAAGGCUGGAGUGCGGCAGAGGGGGAUGGAAUUCCGCGUGUAGCAGUGAAAUGCGUAGAUAUGCGGAGGAACACCGAUGGCGAAGGCAAUCCCCUGGGCCUGCACUGACGCUCAUGCACGAAAGCGUGGGGAGCAAACAGGAUUAGAUACCCGGGUAGUCC
This 450-nucleotide ribosomal RNA is filed under the name uncultured bacterium. RNAcentral describes it as "partial 16S ribosomal RNA". It matches the Rfam family "Bacterial small subunit ribosomal RNA", at positions 354 to 796 of the family's 1533-position model. The record is from RNAcentral.